This is a long non-coding RNA of Oncorhynchus keta (chum salmon), 5092 nucleotides long. RefSeq lists it as uncharacterized. NCBI's taxonomy places the organism in Eukaryota, Metazoa, Chordata, Actinopteri, Salmoniformes, Salmonidae. The record is from RefSeq and is a predicted model, not a curated record. The transcript has 2 exons.
CCAAGGAAAUAUAAUAAGAACACUAACAAAACAAUAGGGUUGCUGCACCUGCUAGGACCCCUAAUAAAAUGUAACUCACAUUAGGGUACAUCAUGUCAAGCAGUUUUUAAUUACACAAAAAAAUCCAUUGCUGUGACAUAUGUGUAGGCAUAUAGGCCUAAUAUAUAUAUAUAUAUACAUACAUACAUAUACAUAUAUAUAUAUAUACACAGGCACUGUGGUAGACUGCAUCCAAUUUGUUGAGUAGAGUGUUGGAGGCUAUUUUGUAAAUGACAUCGCCGAAGUCGAAGAUUGGAGAUGUUUAUAGUGAGUCUGGAAGGAGAGUUUACAGUCUAACCAGAUACCUAGGUAUUUGUAGUUGUCCACAUAUUCUAAGUCAGAACCGUCCAGAGUAGUGAUGCUGCAGGUGCGGGCAGCGAGCGGUUGAAGAGCAUGCAUUUAGUUUUACUUGCAUUGAAGAGCAGUUGGAGGCCACGGAAGGAGGGUUGUAUGGCAUUGAAGCUCAUCUGGAGGUUAGUUAACACAGUGUCCAAAGAAGGGCCAGAGGUAUACAGAAUGGUGUCGUCUGCAUAGAGGUGGAUCAAAUAAUCACCAGCAGCAAGAGCGACAUUAUUGAUGUAUACAGAGAAAAGAGUCGGCCUGAGAAUUGAACCCUGCAGCACCCCCAUAGAGACAGCCAGAGGUCCGGACAACAGGCCCUCCGAUUUGACAUACUGAACUCUUAUCAGAGAAGUAGUUGGUGAACCAGGCGAGGCAGUCAUUUGAGAAACCAAGGUGUUGAGUCUGCCAAUAAGAAUGUUGUGAUUGACAGAGUCGAAAGCCUUAGCCAGGUCGAUGAAUACGGCUGCACAGUAAUGUCUCUUAUCACGCCAGGGUAGUGGGUUCGAUUCCCGGGACCACCCAUACGUAGAAUGUAUGCACACAUGACUGUAAGUCGCUUUGGAUAAAAGCGUCUGCUGAAUGGCAUAUAUAUUAUCGAUGGCGGUUAUGAUAUCAUUUAGGACCUUGAGCGUGGCUGAGGUGCACCCAUGACCAGCUCUGAAACCAGUUUGCAUCGCGGAGAAGGUAUGGUGGGAUUCGAAAUGGUCGGUAAUCUGUUUGUUAACUUGGCUUUCGAAGACCUUAGAAAGGCAGGAUAGAAUAGUUAUAGGUCUGUAGCAGUUUGGGUCUGGAGUGUCUCCCCCUUUGAAGAGGGGGAUGACCGCUGCAGCUUUCCAAUCUUUAGGAAUCUCUGACGAUACGGAUAAAUAUACACUACCGUUCAAAAGUUUGGGGUCACUUUUUUGUCCAUUAAACUAACAUCAAAUUGAUAAGAAAUACAGUGUAGACAUUGUUAAAGCAGUGAGUGAGUCGAGAUCCGUCAGUAGUUCUCGGGCUGCCUUUACCUCCUCCAAUAAUCCGUGCAGUUACGUGUCGAACAGCGCUUCCGGGUUCCAAGUACCCUACUUUGCUAGCAUGCGGAACUCCACCGCGUCGUCUGCCACACUGAGGGAGUCCUGCUGAAGCUGGAGUAACUUCCGGGUAGCCUCUCUCCCGGACACCGGAGCCUCGAAAACCUUUCUCACCUCCGCCAUGAAUACCUCCAGACUGAGGCAGAAGGCGGUCUUCUUGUUGCUCCCACACUGCCAUAACCCAGGCGAGUGCCCUCCCGGACAUCAGCGCACGAUUGUACGCUAUAUUUGAGCGGCCCGAGGGGAACAAAAAAGGCUGCAAUACACUGCAAAACUUUUACCAAGAAGGUAAACAGGAAGAUUGCCUUGAAAGUCAUGAAGUAGCUUUUCAGACCUUUUGCCUCAGAUUUGGCUUCGUUUUUCAGGCUGCAGGUAGCAAAAGGCAUGUCUAGGGCAAGUUGCCAUUGGUCAGAGCGCAGCAAUAAACGCACUCCAUCAGGUGUUAGAAAGACAGUGAAGACAGCAGCCAGUCUUUUCCUUGAGAAUGGCUCAUCGCUCUGGGCUGGCACUGAACAGAUUGUAAAGACGAUUCACACAUCCAAAAAAGGUUGAUACUUCUGGGCACAACUGAGCUGCAUGUACACCCACAAGAUUAAGAGUAUGGGAGGCACAAGGUGAGUAUGUGGCCAGUGGAUUAUUUUGCAAUAUGUGUGCAUGAACUCCCUUCACUUUGCUUGACAUAUUUGCGCCAUUGUCAUAGCCUUGACCAUGGCAAUCUGCUAUGUCAAUACCGUGCCCCUCUAAUGCACUCAAAAUCAUUUCAGAAAUUUCACUGCCUGUCUUUCUAGAAAAGACUUUAAAUUCAAGAAAACAUUCCGUUAUUUCCAUUCACCAGUUCCCUGAACUUGAUCUUUGUGUACAUAUCUCACCAAUAAUACAUUUAGCUCAGUAUGGAAAAUGUCUGGGGUUCACAUAUCACAUAUGUAAUAGAUUGCAUCUUCUCUUUCAUAAAGUAUUGUUUUCAAAACCCUUUGACCACAUAUUCCUAUCAACUCGUUUUGGCUCUCAGGGCUGAGGUAAUGAGUCAUUUGUGUUCACUAUUAAGUUUCAUUAAAUAAUACCCGCAAAACACCUAUCUCAACGUCAACAGUGAAGAGGCGACUCCAGGAUGCUGGCCUUCUAGACUGAGUUCCUCUGCCCAGUGUCUGUGUUCUUUUGCCCAUCUUAAUCUUUCAUUUUUAUUGUCCAGUCUGAGAUAUGGAUUUUUCUUUGCAACUCUGUCGAGAAGGCCAGCAUCCCGGAGUGGCCUCUUCACUGUUGACGUUGAGACUGGUGUUUUGCGGGUACUAUUUAAUAAAGCUGCCAGGACUUGUGAGGCGUCUGUUUCUCAAACUAGACACUAAUGUACUUGUCCUCUUGCUCAAUUGUGCACCGGGGCCUCCCACUCCUCUUUCUAUUAUGGUUAGAGCCAAUUUGGGCUGUUCUGUGAAGGGAGUAGUACACAGCGGUGUAUGAGAUCUUCAGUUUCUUGGCAAUUUCUUGCGUGGAAUAGCCUUCAUUCAUUCCUCAGAACAAGAAUAGACAGAUGAGUUUCAGAAGAAAGUACUUUGUUUCUGGACAUUUUGAGCCUGUAAUCGAAUCCACAAAUGCUGAUGUUCCAGAUACUCAACUAGUCUAAAAAAGGAAAGUUUCUACACCUGCUUCUACACCUGCAUUGCUUGCUGUUUGGGGUUAUCAGGGUUUCUGUACAUUACUUUGAGAUAUCAGCUGAUGUACGUAGGGCUAUAUAAAUAAAUCUUAUUUGAUUUGAUUCAAGAGACCUAGCUCAUUCGUUGGAGUGAGUACUCUGGUGGGCCUUAAAUAUUUUUUUUUUGUCGCCUCUUGCUCUCCCCUCUCUCCGUGCCAUCCUGUGGUGGGGUGACCAGUCCAAGUCUCUCCAGGUACUCAUCGACUCGGGGGCCGAUUUGAGUCUCAUGGACGUUACCCUGGCGUCCAAGCUGGGCAUCCCUACACAAUCCCUUUCCAUUCCCAUGGAUGUUAGAGCGUGGGACUGGUGCACUAUAGGACAGGUCACCCACCAGACCACACCCAUCAACCUACGAGUGUCGGGGAACCACAGCGAGAUUAUCAAAUUUUGGCAUUGGCAUUCUCUUGGCUCCAGCAACACAAUCCCUCCAUUGACUGGGCUACUGGCGCCAACGUGGGCUGGAGCCUGUCCUGCCACACUGAUUUCUUAGAAUCAGCUAUGCCUGCCCCGGGACAUCUUCCUGGGGGCUUGGAAAUUGCCCCGGACCUCUCCGCCAGCUCCGCAGAGUACCAGGACCUCCGGGAGGGGUUUUGUAUGGCACGGGCCUCUUCGCUCCGCAGCACCGACUGGUAUCUAAGAAGGUCAAGCCCGAGGCGCUGGCACACCACUAUAGUGCCCUCGGCUACUACCCCGGAAGCUGAGACCCCCCCCCGCUCCAAGAUCAUUAGCCCCUCUGUUGCCCAGUAACUUCCAUAUUUGUCCUACCUUUUCUGUGUCUAGAAUGAAAACCAUGUCUGACUGCCCCUUGUCUCCUGUUUCCCCACUCCCCCGUCUCAUCAAUGGCCGACCGGCGUACAUGGUGAGACGCCUCCUGAAGGUUCGACCUCGGGACAGUGGAUUCCAAUACCUGGUUGACUGGGAGGGUUAUGGUCCGGAGGGGAGGUGCUGGGUCUCCGCUGGGGACAUCCUGGCACCAGGCGUCAUCUCUGACUUCCAGCGCUGGCACCCCGCUCAACCAGGAAUGCGCCCAGGUAGGACGCCAGGUGGUGUCCCUAGAGGACAUAACUGGGUGCUUCCAUUCUUGCCACAGAGACGAUCAAGUUGAACACUGAUGCUACACAGGCCACUACCUGCAUCCCCAGACAGGCCUUCAGCUGAGACAGAAGGAGAAGAGGAGAAGAGAAGAAAUACCACUGCUACAGUAUAUCUCACGUUGUUCCUUAAAGAACUUGUACACUUACAAAUUGCAAAACUUACAGUGGGAAGAUGGAGAUUCUGUGCAGCUAUGGCCAAACUACCAGCUAUGAUCACCUGUAGAAAUUACAACAGUAAGAAACAUGUCAACCUCAAGACUCAACACUCAGCUCUUUAAAUUGCUUGUCUUUUAACAUCAAUCAAGUGAGUAGAACAUGUAUGGUGGGCACUCACAAACACUGAUCCAAUGAUUUGUGGUGGGUCUAGAACCACUUCGCUCAAGCCGUUGGUGAGAAUGACAAUGACAGAACUGAUAUAGAACACACUGAGGGCAAUCUGAGUCACCUGAGGGGGAGGAGAGAGUGGUGAAAUAAAAUUAACUACAGAUUGUUAUGAAUAACAUUUCAUAGAUUAUAAAACAUUAUAGUGACAUUUCAUUGGAUUGCCAGACCACACUUCAUGUAUUUGCUCAGGAUGUUUUACCCCCAGUGCUUUGGGUUGAGACUCCAGGUACUUCUGUUUUUGGUGAGGAUUCCUCUGAAAUGUCACCGCGACAAGUGGACCCUCUACACCAGGAACAGCCUCUUCAUCUGAAAAGAGCAUUUGAGAAAACUGUCUAGCAAUAGACUGCUGCAGCUACUGCAAUACAACCCGAUUUAAAUGUUUUUUUGGGAGCAGCAUAUUGAGACGAUUUCUGUUCACAUGGAAAUGUUCUGGUAUGAGAUUGUUUUUAUUUUUAAAGCAAACAUGCAGAUCAGAG